This 1652-nucleotide long non-coding RNA is filed under the name Ornithorhynchus anatinus (platypus). RNAcentral's name for it is "lncRNA (ENSOANG00000046892.1)". The record is from RNAcentral. Lineage: Eukaryota; Metazoa; Chordata; Mammalia; Monotremata; Ornithorhynchidae.
UUUGAAUCAUGGCUACUGGAAGCACUGAAGUCUUGUGAGGUGUUAAGAUGCAUUUUGAGAUGACUGGGAUGGCUAAGGUAAGGAUUACGGUGUCGCGAAGCUUCUGGAACAUUUGUCUGAUUUGCUUUUACUGGGCAAACAUGACACCUGUGUCUCAUUUUGAUCAGCACACUGGGAAGAAAUAUAGUCGGCUGUGCUAGAUUCUCUGCUGCUUAAGAUGAAGGGGGGUAUGAGCUACCUUACGCAAAGCUCUCUGGGAAAGGAGGCUUUAACCACUUUUUCCCUUCUUCAUAUCCAUAUUCAGGAGGUCCAGCCCUAAGACAUUGUUUUGGAGUCAUUUUUCUGAAUUCUCAUAACCAUGGAAGGAUGCUUGAUAGUGUGUGCCCCUUUGAACUGAUGAGGAAAUUGAGGUGUGAUUUGCCCUAACCCAGUACUUAGUAGAAUGCUCUAUACAUGGGGAGCUUGGGAGCCGUUUGUUGUAGACUCUGCUGACCACUUUGACAACCGCUGCCUGAAGACUAACAGGCUCCUACUGGUGAGGAAUCACCCGCGACUGGCUUUCCUGCUUGUUUCAGCAAAGGGAGAAAACCAGAAAUGGCCGACCUUACCUUGGCUGGCACUGGGCUCGGCUUCAUUCCAGCUUGGCAGAGUGGAUAGAACCCGGGUCUGGGAAUCAGAAGGUCACGGGUUCUAAUCCUGGCUCUCCCACUUGUCUGCUGUGUGACCUUGGGCAAGUCACUUCACUUCUCUGGGCUCCAGUUACCUCAUCUGUAAAAUAGGGGUCGAGACGUCGAGUCCCACGUGGGACAGGGACUCUGUCCAUCCUGUUAUGCUUGUAUCCACCCCAGCACUUAGUACAGUGCCUGGCACACAGUAAGUGCUUAAGAAAUACCAUAAUUUUUAUUACUGUCAUCUAUGAAUACAGAUCCCUUAUAUUCUCACCUCUCCCCAUGCAAGCUCCUCGUUGUUUCCCUGGCCUGGAACUCCCUCCCCACCCCCAAAUCUGACAAUCAGUCCAUCGAUCAAUGGUAUUUAUUGAGUGCUUACCGUGUGCAGAGCACUGUACUAAGUGCUUGUGAGUGACAGAGUUGGUAGACAUGAUCAGAGCCUUCCUGAAAAUCCCACUCCUCCCCCUCCUAUGAUCCUCUAGAUUGUAUAAACUUGUUAUGGGUGGGAAAUGUGUCUACAGACUCUGUUAUCCUGUACACAGUAAGCGCUCAAUAAAUAUGAUUGAGAAACGUUCUACAUUUGCAGAUUCGAAGGGCAUCCCAGAUGACAUCAACCUGUUGUGUGAUGAGGAAGCAGCAUGUUCUGGUGGAAAGAGCAUAGGCCUGGGAGUCAGAGGAUGUGAGAACUAAUCCUUGCUCUGCCACAUGUCUGCUGUGUGACCUUGGGCAAGUCACUUCACUUCUCUGUGCCUCAGUUACCUCAUCUGUAAAAUGGAGAUUGAUUGUCAGCCCUGUGUGGGGCAGGGACUGUGUCCAACCUGAUUACCCUGUAUUUACCCCAGCGCUUGGAACAAUGUUUGGCACAUAGUAAGUGCUUAAUAAACACCAUUAUUAUUAUCGGACCAUGGGUGCACCCAGUGUAAUGUAAUGACAUCAUAUGAGGCAGGAGGGAACAGCCAACUUUUCCCUGCCUCAAGGUAGCCA